This 500-nucleotide ribosomal RNA is filed under the name uncultured bacterium. RNAcentral describes it as "bacterial SSU rRNA". It matches the Rfam family "Bacterial small subunit ribosomal RNA", at positions 30 to 504 of the family's 1533-position model. The record is from RNAcentral.
UGAACGCUGGCGGCGUGCCUAACACAUGCAAGUCGAACGAGAAAGUCCCCUUCGGGGGAUGAGUAAAGUGGCAGACGGGUGAGUAACACGUGGGCAACCUGCCCGGAGGUGGGGGAUAACCCUUCGAAAGGAGGGCUAAUACCGCAUGAUAUCUCGAGCACUUAGGGGUUCGAGAUCAAAGCCAGCCUCUGCUUGCACGCUGGCGCCACCGGAGGGACCCGCGCCCCAUUAGCUUGUUGGUGAGGUAACGGCUCACCAAGGCCGCGAUGGGUAGCCGGCCUGAGAGGGUGAUCGGCCACACUGGAACUGAGAUACGGUCCAGACUCCUACGGGAGGCAGCAGUGAGGAAUUUUGCGCAAUGGGCGAAAGCCUGACGCAGCGACGCCGCGUGGAGGACGAAGGCCUUCGGGUCGUAAACUCCUGUCAGGCGGGACGAAUCCUGCGGGGAUGAAUAAGCCCCGCAGUUGACGGUACCGCUGGAGGAAGCCCCGGCUAACUCC